GCCCCUAUAGCUCAGCUGGAUAGAGCGUCCCCCUCCUAAGGGGAAGGUCUCAGGUUCGAAUCCUGAUGGGGGCGCCA
RNAcentral lists this transfer RNA (77 nucleotides) under Halomonas halophila. RNAcentral describes it as "tRNA-Arg". It matches the Rfam family "tRNA". From Rfam's summary of the family: Transfer RNA (tRNA) molecules are approximately 80 nucleotides in length. Their secondary structure includes four short double-helical elements and three loops (D, anti-codon, and T loops). Further hydrogen bonds mediate the characteristic L-shaped molecular structure. tRNAs have two regions of fundamental functional importance: the anti-codon, which is responsible for specific mRNA codon recognition, and the 3' end, to which the tRNAs corresponding amino acid is attached (by aminoacyl-tRNA synthetases). tRNAs cope with the degeneracy of the genetic code in two manners: having more than one tRNA (with a specific anti-codon) for a particular amino acid; and 'wobble' base-pairing, i.e. permitting non-standard base-pairing at the 3rd anti-codon position. RNAcentral also lists the same sequence under 20 other names. Lineage: Bacteria; Pseudomonadati; Pseudomonadota; Gammaproteobacteria; Oceanospirillales; Halomonadaceae. The record is from RNAcentral.